Molecule: ribosomal RNA, 1324 nt
Filed under: metagenome
Description: bacterial SSU rRNA
Rfam family: Bacterial small subunit ribosomal RNA
Source: RNAcentral
AGAGUUUGAUCCUGGCUCAGGAUGAACGCUGGCGGCGUGCUUAACACAUGCAAGUCGAACGAACCUUCGGGUUAGUGGCGGACGGGUGAGUAACGCGUGAGAAUCUGCCCUCAGGAGGGGGAUAACGGCUGGAAACGGCCGCUAAUACCCCAUAUGCCGAGAGGUGAAAUGAAUUUCGCCUGAGGAUGAGCUCGCGUCUGAUUAGCUAGUUGGUGUGGUAAAGGCUCACCAAGGCAUCGAUCAGUAGCUGGUCUGAGAGGAUGAUCAGCCACACUGGGACUGAGACACGGCCCAGACUCCUACGGGAGGCAGCAGUGGGGAAUUUUCCGCAAUGGGCGCAAGCCUGACGGAGCAACGCCGCGUGAGGGAUGAAGGCCUCUGGGCUGUAAACCUCUUUUAUCAAGGAAGAAGAUCUGACGGUACUUGAUGAAUAAGCCACGGCUAAUUCCGUGCCAGCAGCCGCGGUAGUACGGGAGUGGCAAGCGUUAUCCGGAAUUAUUGGGCGUAAAGCGUCCGCAGGCGGUCUUGAAAGUCUGUUGUUAAAGCGUGGAGCUCAACUCCAUUUCAGCAAUGGAAACUAGAAGACUAGAGUGUGGUAGGGGCAGAGGGAACUCCCGGUGUAGCGGUGAAAUGCGUAGAUAUCGGGAAGAACACCAGUGGCGAAGGCGCUCUGCUGGGCCAUAACUGACGCUCAUGGACGAAAGCCAGGGGAGCGAAAGGGAUUAGAUACCCCUGUAGUCCUGGCCGUAAACGAUGAACACUAGGUGUCGGGGGAAUCGACCCCCUCGGUGUCGUAGCCAACGCGUUAAGUGUUCCGCCUGGGGAGUACGCACGCAAGUGUGAAACUCAAAGGAAUUGACGGGGGCCCGCACAAGCGGUGGAGUAUGUGGUUUAAUUCGAUGCAACGCGAAGAACCUUACCAGGGUUUGACAUCCUGCGAAUCCCUUGGAAACUUGGGAGUGCCUUCGGGAGCGCAGUGACAGGUGGUGCAUGGCUGUCGUCAGCUCGUGUCGUGAGAUGUUGGGUUAAGUCCCGCAACGAGCGCAACCCACGUCUUUAGUUGCCAGCAUUAAGUUGGGCACUCUAGAGAGACUGCCGGUGAUAAACCGGAGGAAGGUGUGGAUGACGUCAAGUCAUCAUGCCCCUUACAUCCUGGGCUACACACGUACUACAAUGCUACGGACAAAGGGCAGCAAACUCGCGAGAGCUAGCAAAUCCCAUAAACCGUGGCUCAGUUCAGAUCGUAGGCUGCAACUCGCCUACGUGAAGGAGGAAUCGCUAGUAAUCGCAGGUCAGCAUACUGCGGUGUAUACGUUCCCGGCCC